Molecule: ribosomal RNA, 497 nt
Filed under: uncultured bacterium
Lineage: Bacteria
Description: partial 16S ribosomal RNA
Rfam family: Bacterial small subunit ribosomal RNA
Source: RNAcentral
GAUGAACGCUGGCGGCGUGCCUAAUACAUGCAAGUCGAGCGAACAGACGAGGAGCUUGCUCCUCUGACGUUAGCGGCGUACGGGUGAGUAACACGUGGAUAACCUACCUAUAAGACUGGGAUAACUUCGGGAAACCGGAGCUAAUACCGGAUAAUAUAUUGAACCGCAUGGUUCAAUAGUGAAAGACGGUUUUGCUGUCACUUAUAGAUGGAUCCGCGCCGCAUUAGCUAGUUGGUAAGGUAGCGGCUUACCAAGGCAACGAUGCGUAGCCGACCUGAGAGGGUGAUCGGCCACACUGGAACUGAGACACGGUCCAGACUCCUACGGGAGGCAGCAGUAGGGAAUCUUCCGCAAUGGGCGAAAGCCUGACGGAGCAACGCCGCGUGAGUGAUGAAGGUCUUCGGAUCGUAAAACUCUGUUAUUAGGGAAGAACAAAUGUGUAAGUAACUAUGCACGUCUUGACGGUACCUAAUCAGAAAGCCACGGCUAACUACGUG